This 201-nucleotide ribosomal RNA is filed under the name Erysiphe heraclei. RNAcentral describes it as "5.8S ribosomal RNA". The stretch from base 49 to 201 matches the Rfam family "5.8S ribosomal RNA". Rfam says of the family: 5.8S ribosomal RNA (5.8S rRNA) is a component of the large subunit of the eukaryotic ribosome. It is transcribed by RNA polymerase I as part of the 45S precursor that also contains 18S and 28S rRNA. Functionally, it is thought that 5.8S rRNA may be involved in ribosome translocation. Lineage: Eukaryota; Fungi; Ascomycota; Leotiomycetes; Helotiales; Erysiphaceae. The record is from RNAcentral.
AAACUCAUGUUGUCUGUGUCGUCUUAGCUUUAUAAUGAAAAUUGAUAAAACUUUCAACAACGGAUCUCUUGGCUCUGGCAUCGAUGAAGAACGCAGCGAAAUGCGAUAAGUAAUGUGAAUUGCAGAAUUUAGUGAAUCAUCGAAUCUUUGAACGCACAUUGCGCCCCUUGGUAUUCCGAGGGGCAUGCCUGUUCGAGCGUC